CUCGGAGUUUGAUCCUGGCUCAGAGUUGAACGACUGGCGGAAUGCUUUACACACUGACAGGUCGAACGGUAGAGGGGGCAACCCCGUUGAGAGUGGCGAACGGGUGAGUAAUAUAUCGGAACGUGCCCAGUCGUGGGGGAUAACGUAGCGAAAGUUACGCUAAUACCGCAUACGAUCUAAGGAUGAAAGCGGGGGACUCGCAAGAGCCUCGCGCGAUUGGAGCGGCCGAUAUCAGAUUAGGUAGUUGGUGGGGUAAAGGCUCACCAAGCCAACGAUCUGUAGCUGGUCUGAGAGGACGACCAGCCACACUGGAACUGAGACACGGUCCAGA
RNAcentral lists this ribosomal RNA (331 nucleotides) under uncultured Limnohabitans sp. RNAcentral describes it as "bacterial SSU rRNA". It matches the Rfam family "Bacterial small subunit ribosomal RNA", at positions 1 to 335 of the family's 1533-position model. Lineage: Bacteria; Pseudomonadati; Pseudomonadota; Betaproteobacteria; Burkholderiales; Comamonadaceae. The record is from RNAcentral.